Non-coding RNA from Acanthosepion pharaonis, 112 nucleotides. NCBI's taxonomy places the organism in Eukaryota, Metazoa, Mollusca, Cephalopoda, Sepiida, Sepiidae. The record is from the annotation of a GenBank genome assembly.
ACAGCCACAUCAUGUUGAAAUGCCGGUUCCUGUAUGAUCACCAGAGUUAAGAAAUAUCGAGCUUGGUCAGUAUCUAGAUGGGUGACCGUUUAGGAACACCAGGUGCUGUAAG